This is a long non-coding RNA of Callithrix jacchus (white-tufted-ear marmoset), 6972 nucleotides long. RefSeq lists it as uncharacterized. NCBI's taxonomy places the organism in Eukaryota, Metazoa, Chordata, Mammalia, Primates, Cebidae. The record is from RefSeq and is a predicted model, not a curated record.
GACCACUGGCAGCCUGCCAGAAAUCGAGCAGUAAGGCAGGCCAAACACAUGUCUGUAGUUACAGAUUCUGCUGUGUAUGAGCAACUGCUAAAUCUUCGGGUGAGGCUCUAUUUGUUUUACUAUAAAGGCAGUUUUUGCAAUGGUGAAAUUCGCCUCUUGGAAUCCAGCAACCUAACUGUGUCAGACAUGGUGCUUAGGUCACAAUAACCUUUCUCCAUGUGGUCAUUCCCUGAGGACAAUGAGUUCUUUGGCAGAAACCAGGAGAUACAGUGAGGGAAACUUUAUGGAAGCAGUGGUGUCACGGUUGAAUCUGGAAGUAUCAGAAAUAAAGGAUGUGACAGAAGCCACCAGAUACAAUGCAGGGAUAUGCUCGCAACAGACAGUAACACCAGCUUCUGACACAUACAAGCCAUGUUAAUAAGUCUCAGGGAGGAACAUAAUGAGGUAAUGUUUACAAAUGCUGGGCUGUCUUGUCUUUGAACAAAAUUCAUUCUCAGCAAUGAUAUAUAAAAAGAAGAAAACAUUUGUCAUUGCUCAGGACUCUCAGAACAAAGCCUCUGCCUUCAGCUGUGUCUCAAGAAACCUGUUUUCCUGCAGCCCACCCUUGACUCUGAUUUAAUGACCCAUAUGGGUGGACCUGACACUGAGUAUGGUCUAAGGAGCAUGAUCUCAAACCAAUUUCUCACAAGCACUUGCCGCACUGUUUAGAGGUUUAUAUUUCCACCUAUGGUGGAGGCAACUUGAAGUCAGUGAUAAUUUAUUAAUCUUUAUAGCUUCAGGUACUAGCACGUUGCCUGAAACACAGCAAAUUAUCAGAAAAAGUUGACUGAAUGAACAGUGAACAUUCAAGUUAUCCUUGCAAAUCAUGAAUGCCAAAGAAUGCUCAAUCCAUCAGAGAAAACGAGUGAUUUCUCCUCUGAGAGUCUUUCUUUGGAGUGCCCUGUCCCAGGACUCAUUUUUACAUCCAGCCUAGAAAUUCUCACUUCUCUUGGUAUUCUUUUGGAUCGAGUCCCUCCCUUCAGCGAGUUAAAGCUUGCUUGAAAUGAAAAAUAUAAAUCUGUGUUUACAGUGAAAGACAGUUGAUCCUAUUUUUAAUUUUUGCCAAGAAGAUGAUGUCACUUAAGGGACAAAUAGCAGUGAUUUUUUACUUAGGAUUUUCCUGUUAGCUCGUCAGUAGAAGGUUACAGGUAUGUCAAAGAUACUUAAAUCAGCAAAAAUGAAGUUAAGGCCACAGAGAAGAUCCAAAACAGCAAUCAUAAUUAAGUGGUUAUCAAGCUUCACAUCGUAUAUUAAGUCUCAAAAGACCCUGAGAAUUGCCCAUGAGAGUUUGAUCACUGAUUGACAUGAGCUGGGAUUCUCCUGAGGUGACUGGUCCGAUGAGAAAUUUUUCUACCCUAGGUAGGUGGUAUAACUGAAAUAUCUUAGUUCCCUCAAUUUCCCAUGCCAUGAAAAUUGUCUCAAAUGUUUGCCUAAAAUCUUGCUCAUUAUUGUUGAAAAUCUCUUGUGUAAGUAAUGUAUUUUUGGAACAGUCUGUGAACUACUCCUUGACAAACUGCUGGUGAAAGACUUUAAAUGGUGCUGGGAAAAUUUACGUGGAGCUAUCUAUUCAUUCAACAUUGUUGCAAGUUGACUGAGAAAUCAUGGGUUUCUUUCAUUGUACGUUCCCCUCAGGGUGGUAAAUCUACUAUAAUUUAAGAGAGACUAGUUGUUUUAUAUGGGAGAAGGUUUUACUCAUAGCACAGCAGUGACAUGCUGAUGAAAACUUUAUUUUCUGGACCAACUAUUGGGACAAAUGGUCUGAAAAAUGAGACAAUCUACUAAAAACCAACACUGUCCUAAAAAAUAUGAAAGGCGUAGUUGCUUUCCUUAAAGCAGUUUUUCUCUUUCUUUGGCUGUGUAUAUACAAAAGGAGGAAUGAGAAACUUAAAGAAAUGGGAACUAUAAUGAAUGGGGAAUUACUCCAGAGUAGCUUUGAAAGAAUGAAGCAACAGGAAUGAGCCCCUAAGCAGAAUUCCCUACAACAAGUGUAAAUGCAAACUUUGAGAAAGCAGACAAGACAGUGCAAUAUUAUUAGGUUGGAAAGUGUUUAGAAAAUGUUUAUAAUGAGAAAGGUAUAAACGAUUAUUUAGUUUGCUUUUGAAAUGUUGCCUUUAAGAGCAAUGUUGGUCCAGGUGGCUGAAAUGAAUAAUGUAAGACGGCUGUGGCUCUCACCUAUAAUCCCAGCACUCUGAGAGCCCAACAUAGGAGGAUCGCUUAGGAGUUCAACCAGCUUGGGGAACAGAGGCAGACCCUGUCUCUGCAAAUAAUAAAAAAAGUAGCUGGGCAUACUAUUUUGUUUUUGAACAAAAUUUAUAAUAAAAAAAUUGAAGAAUAAUUCAAAAUUGUUAUUUGUAAUAAUUCGUAGAGACAAUGUCUCUACAAAUAAUACAAAAGUAGCUACUUGGGAGGCUGAGGCAGGAGGACCACCUGAGCCCAGGAGGUUGAGGCUGCAGUGACUGUGCCACUGCACUCCAGCCUGGAUGACAGUGGGGCCCUGUUUCAGAUAAAACAAAACAAAAACAAAAGUAAUAUUUAUUAAUGUUGCACUUGAAAGUUUUAAUAAACAGUUAAGUAAUCAGAAUAAAACAAUAAUUGGGAACAAGGCUGUGUGGCAGCAGGCCCUGCUUUAAUUACAUAUGCACAACAAACAGUGGGCACUAAUGAAUAUUCACUGACUGAUCAGCUGGAAGUUGGAAUCGUGAGCCUGAGGUACCAAGGGUACAAGUUUGCAGCAUAAUAAAACUCGAACCGCAUUUUUAAAAGUUCAAUAGGUAGGCCGGGCGUGGUGGCUCAAGCCUGUAAUCCCAGCACUUUGGGAGGCUGAGGCAGGUGGAUCACGAGGUCAAGAGAUUGAGACCAUCCUGGUCAACAUGGUGAAACCCCAUCUCUACUAAAAAUACAAAAAAUUAGCUGGGCAUGGUGGCCCAUGCCUGUAAUCUCAGCUACUCAGGAGGCUGAGGCAGGAGAAUUGCCUGAACCUAGGAGGCGGAGGUUGCAGUGAGCCGAGAUCGUGCCAUUGCACUCCAGCCUGGAUAACAAGAGCGAAACUCUGUCUCAAAAAAAAAAAAAAAAAGUUCAACAGGUAAAUGUAAAGUUGUGAAGUGACAAUAAAAUGUCACAAUUCCUUAUGAAUCUUCAUCAACCACAAAUUUAACAAAGCCCUUCUCCAACCUUUUAACUUUUACUAUGUGUAAGUAUACUGAGGCCAUUUCGCAAGCUUGUACUGCUCUCUUUAUUUUAAGGCAGGUGAUACAAACUCAAAUAUCUUUAAGGGCCAAGCAAGCCAUGAAAAUGAGGUGAGUGGACUGAGUGGAGAGCAUGGCAUACAGGAAGCACACGUUCCGUGUCUUAGGGAAGUCAGUUAUCGUCCUGCAGAAACACAGGUCUAGUGUGAUCAGUUCGUCUAAUUUUUAAAGAGGCUGGAUAUUGAUAAAUAUAUAUAUAGUUUUGAGACAGAGUCUUGCACUGUCACCCUGACUGGAGUACAGUGGCACAAUCUCGGCUAACUGCAACCUCCACCUCCUGGUUCAAGUGAUUCUCCUGCCUCAGCCUCCCAAGUAAGUGGGACUAUAGGCAUGUGCCACCAUGACUAGCUGAUUUUUGUAUUUUUAGUAGAGUCAUGUUGGCCAGGAUGGUCUUGAACUCCUGACCUCAAGAGAUCCACCCACCUUGGCCUUCCAAAGUGUUGGGAUUACAGGCAUGGGCCACUGUGCCCACCCUGCAUAUUGUUAUUUUUAUGAAAACUUAGUUUUUAAAGGACAGCAAAUAACUUCCAAAACCCAAGCACUGUAGAGCAAACAAAAUUUUCAGGCCAGGAGUGGUGGUUCAUGCCUGAAAUCCCAGCAUCUUGGGAGGCCAAGCAGGUGGAUUGCUUGAACCCAGGAGUUAGAGACCAGCCUGGGUAAUGUGGUGAAACCCAAUGUCUAUGAAAAACAUAAAAAUCAACCAGGCAUGGUGGUACAUGCCUGCAGUCCCAGCUACUCGGGAGCUGAGGUGGGAGGAUCACCGAGCGCACAAGAUUGAGACUGCAGUGAGCUGUGAUUGUGCCUCUGUACCCUAGCCUGGGCGACAGAGUGAGACCCUGUCUCAAAAAAGAAAUUUCAUGAGCCAGAUAUGGCCUGUUGCACAUGGUGCCUACUAUUUAAGGUAUUCUAAGAUUUGGUGAAAAGGUUCAUGUUCUGCUUAGCUGCACUGUCCAUGCUUUUUAAAACUUGGGUGAAAUUCUCAACUUUUUUUUGGAGGUGGGGGAGACAGGUUCCCAUUCCACUGCCCAGGCUAGAGUGUUAUGGCACAGUUAUAGUUCAAUGCAGCCUCAAGCCCCUGGAGACCUUCAGUACUUAUUGUACUAAACCACAGUAACAAAACUCAACUUGGCUCUCAAAGCUUCUUGUUGAAUCACUUUACCUUCUCCAUCGGUUCAUCCCCAAAGAGAACUGGGGUGAUAACCAAACUAUUCUAUUCUCCCAAGGCACCUUGACUAUAUUGAAAUAUCUUUUCUUCCCUCUAUUUUUAUGGUAUCUGCUGAUUAUAAAAAAUUUGAUUCAAAUUUUACUUUCUUUGGGAAUCCCAUUCCAACACAGUAAAUUUUCUUCUGUGUCCAACAAAUCAUAAACCGGUAGUCAAGCUCACAAGAAACAUUAGAAUAAUCCAGUUCAUUUGCUUCUCCAGCUAAUGUUUAAAAAUUAUUUUUUAAGUUUUAUUUUGUAGGCAGUAGGUUUUUAAAUUUUUAUUUUAAGGAAUUAAUAUUUUUAAGAGACAGGGUCCUGCUCUGUUGCCCAGGCUAAAGUGCGGUGGCACCAUCCCACUUCAGUGCAGCCUCGAACUCCUGAGCUAAAGCAAUCCUCCCUCAGCAUCCCAAGUUCUUUAGAUAAUUUUAAAAAAUGAACCCUCACAAAGCAUUGCCUGACUCUGUAAGUUUACAAGGACGUUGUGCUUCUCCAUAUUAUGCCGAAAAAGGUAUACAUUAAGGGUCACAAACUCAAAGGCCUAUGGAGGCCAGACAGGUAACACAAACAGUCCACUGUAAGAGGACUGGGAGUUGAAUGACUCUGGCAACGUAGAAUGCAAAUGCCCCAGCUCAUGAGGCAGUGCAGGGCCAAAGUGGCCAGGCCUUUUUUUUUAAAAAAAAAAACCAAAAACAAAACCAAAAUAAAACAGGUCAAAACUUUGGGAGCCAAACAAAACAGAACUGUGAGAUGCUGGUUUUGACUUUGUGUAUAAUACACUAUUUUCCUUGAGUUUAGAGAAUGUUUUCCAAAUAAAACAGCAGAAGGAUAUGCAUGGAAAACAAGGGAAGUCACUAGACAUACCACUGUAGACAGAAGGGGAUCCAGUAAACUGCAUUAGGUGAGUAUUUUGUGAAGUCUAGCCGAAACCUAAGCCCUCAAAUGCUGCCUCAAGGUGAGCAAUCGCUUUCCUUUGGAAAGGCUCAUUUGUGGGACUCUACAAAGAGAUGACAUUAGUUGCAUCUUAAGUAUACACAUUUGAAUAAGGGCUGGUUUGGUUUCACUCGGAAUAAUAAGAGCCGAAAAUCACAAUAGGUUCUGACCAAAUUUUACCAAAAAUACGUCAUUCUUUCUUAACAGAAACAAACACACAAAGCUCAAACAUCCUGGUGGGACUAAAACAAAACAGGGUAUGAAAGUAAAUUUUGAUAAUAUACGUUAUCAUUGUGAAUUGUUUCUUUCUCAUAUGUCCCACAAUCCUUUCUUUUGGGAAUUAUCUGUCUUUAGAAAUACAAUAUUUCUGUUGGAAUUUGUAAUUCUCCAGGUUGGCCAAUUACAGAAUCUCAUUUCCUAGAUGUAAUGGUUUGUCCUGAAGUAUGCAUGACUUCGGCCAGGUUAGUGAAGUGCCAGUCCUACUUGAGAAACGAGGAUGCUGGGAUGGAGUGGGAUGGCAAGCUUUAAAAGGGACCACAUAGUUCUGCAUCUGUUCCCAAGACACUACAAGUACACAUGAAGAAAUCACUUCACAGUGACAAAAAGAGAGUCCUGGUAACAUCAUUUGAACACAAAUCCAAGGAUGUCUGAGGAUACUGCAAACACUGAUAAAUAGUUUACUUUUUAACUUGAGUAAAUUUGAUUUGGGUUCCUGUAAAUUACAACAGGGAGCCUUGACUAACACAAGAAACAUUUGUGGUUUAUAUCUUUAUUUUAGGAGAAUGUGCAUUCAAGUAAGUUAAUUUCAGAAAUAGGCAGCUGAAUUGUAUAAUUGCUUCCCAGCUCAACAUAUAUUGAUAAUUUAUAUUCUAUAUAUUUAAUACACUAAUGCCAGCAAAUAAACAUUUCUAUCCUCAUUCAAGUGCUAUUUCAAAAUAUAAUUUAGUUCUAAUGAUGUCAGUAAUGCCAUGUUCAGUACCAAAAAUUUAGACAAUAUAGGAAAGCAUAAGAAAAAAAAAAGUGAAUUUUAAAAGUUAGGAUUAAAUUAACAUUGCCCACUGUGGGCCAAGCACCACAAUGGCUCAUGCCUGUAAUCCCAGCACUUUGGGAGACCAAGGCAGGAAGACUGCUGGAAACCAGGAGUUUGUGUCGAGCCUGGGCAACAUAGUGAGGUCCCGUCUCUACAAAAUAUUUUUUAAAAUAAAUUAACGUUAGUCAAAAGUUCCAUUGUACACAGAAUUGCAUAUUUUUGGAUAUAUAUGUUGACUUUAAUAACCCAUGGGAACCAUUUUCAGUAUGAAUUACAAUUUAAGAUAAAAAAUUGUGUUUACAUGUAUAUGCUGUGAGUGUCUAGUAAAAUAUUAAUCUAUGGUAGAAUAUAGGAUCUUUGCAUUUAUCCCCUACAAAGAGUACUACAGGAACCCUGAGAGCAGGAAAUGCAUGAUGAAAAGGCUGCAUUUGAAUAUUAAAUAUGCCUAGGUCAUGUGAGAAUGCCUUCCAGUUAUAUUUGAAUUCAGAUUACUGGGGAGGCAGGAUGGAUGCAUGCUCACCUCUU